CCCCUUACCUGGCAGGGGAGACACCAUGAUCAUGAAGAUGGUUUCCCAGAGUGAAGCUCAUCCACUGCACUCCAGGUGUGCUCACCCCNGUGAUUUCCCCAAAUGCGGGAAACUUGAUUGCAUGAUCUGUAGCCUGCUCAGUAGCCUGUUC
Molecule: small nuclear RNA, 151 nt
Filed under: Salvator merianae (Argentine black and white tegu)
Lineage: Eukaryota; Metazoa; Chordata; Lepidosauria; Squamata; Teiidae
Description: U1 spliceosomal RNA (ENSSMRG00000004161.1)
Rfam family: U1 spliceosomal RNA (bases 1-134)
About the family: U1 is a small nuclear RNA (snRNA) component of the spliceosome (involved in pre-mRNA splicing). Its 5' end forms complementary base pairs with the 5' splice junction, thus defining the 5' donor site of an intron.
Source: RNAcentral